AAGUCGUAACAAGGUAGCCGUAUCGGAAGGUGCGGCUGGAUCACCUCCUUUCUAGGGAAUACAGGAAGUCAUGGUACUAUUUUCUUUUGUAUGACCAUCUGGUUAUGCAAAAACAGUUAAAGAAGGCAUCUUAGGAUGCAUUUUUUAACGGGACAAAUACCGGAGUAGUGGUAGCAGGUCCCAAUCGAUCAUUGAAAACAGCAUAGUGUAUAAAUAAAAUUAUAAAAUACAAUUUCUUAACACGAAAACGUAAAUUAUUAGGAUCAAGAAGAAAAGAGCACAGGGUGAAUGCCUUGGCAAUCAGAGCCGACGAAGGACGCGACAAGCUGCGAAAAGCUACGUGUAGGUGCACAUAACCGUUAAAGCGUAGAUAUCCGAAUGGGGCAACCCA
RNAcentral lists this unclassified non-coding RNA (391 nucleotides) under Acetobacterium woodii. RNAcentral describes it as "partial contains 16S ribosomal RNA, 16S-23S ribosomal RNA intergenic spacer, and 23S ribosomal RNA". The stretch from base 262 to 391 matches the Rfam family "Bacterial large subunit ribosomal RNA", at positions 1 to 130 of the family's 2925-position model. The record is from RNAcentral. Lineage: Bacteria; Bacillati; Bacillota; Clostridia; Eubacteriales; Eubacteriaceae.